Molecule: ribosomal RNA, 268 nt
Filed under: uncultured bacterium
Lineage: Bacteria
Description: partial 16S ribosomal RNA
Rfam family: Bacterial small subunit ribosomal RNA
Source: RNAcentral
UCCACGCCGUAAACGAUGAGAACUAGGUGUUGCGGGUAUCGACCCCUGCAGUGCCAAAGCUAACGCAUUAAGUUCUCCGCCUGGGGAGUACGGUCGCAAGAUUAAAACUCAAAGGAAUUGACGGGGGCCCGCACAAGCGGUGGAGUAUGUGGUUUAAUUCGAUGCAACGCGAAGAACCUUACCUGGGCUUGACAUCCUUGGAAUCUCUCAGAGACGAGAGAGUGCCCUUCGGGGAACCAGUGACAGGUGCUGCAUGGCUGUCGUCAGC